Molecule: ribosomal RNA, 492 nt
Filed under: uncultured bacterium
Lineage: Bacteria
Description: partial 16S ribosomal RNA
Rfam family: Bacterial small subunit ribosomal RNA
Source: RNAcentral
AGUGAACGCUGGCGGUAGGCCUAACACAUGCAAGUCGAACGGCAGCACAGUAAGAGCUUGCUCUUACGGGUGGCGAGUGGCGGACGAGUGAGGAAUACAUCGGAAUCUACUUUUUCGUGGGGGAUAACGUAGGGAAACUUACGCUAAUACCGCAUACGACCUACGGGUGAAAGCAGGGGAUCUUCGGACCUUGCGCAAUUGAAUGAGCCGAUGUCGGAUUAGCUAGUUGGCGGGGUAAAGGCCCACCAAGGCGACGAUCCGUAGCUGGUCUGAGAGGAUGAUCAGCCACACUGGAACUGGGACACGGUCCAGACUCCUACGGGAGGCAGCAGUGGGGAAUAUUGGACAAUGGGCGCAAGCCUGAUCCAGCCAUACCGCGUGGGUGAAGAAGGCCUUCGGGUUGUAAAGCCCUUUUGUUGGGAAAGAAAAGCAGCAGGUUAAUACCCCGCUGUUCUGACGGUACCCAAAGAGUAAGCACCGGCUAACUUCGUG